AACAAGGUCUUGCUGAGUUGCUUUGGGCCUCCUAAAUUGCCGAGGCUGGCUUUGAACUUGAAAUCCCCCUGCCUCAGCCCCCCAAGCUGAGCAACCAGCCUCAGCAAUGUAGUAAGGUUUGCCACUGCACGCAGCCUCAACAGCUUGAUUUUUACAGAUAGCAAUAUAUUGUGUACAUCUUUCUCUAUGGCAGUACAUAGAAACCCACGGUAGACUUUUUAAAUGUUGCAUGGUAUAUAUUCUGCUGCAUGGAUGUACCAUUAUUUCAUCAUCUUCCUUAUGGGUGAACAUCAAGUUUUCCAAAAUAAACAAAUUAUGUGUGUGUGCACUAUGUUAUACAUAUAUUCAUAAAUAUAUGCUCUAAACAAAAUAUCUUCCUUGUUACACUUUUAUGCAUUUGUUCUAGUGUUUCUAUAAAACAGAUUUCUAAAGUUGGGAUUGUUGAGUUCAUGGGGAAACAUACAUGGUAAGUUGUACAUGCAUCCAGCAGUUGUCCUUAGUCAAAACCUUGUACCAAGUAAAUGCAAGGUCCUUUUAAAUGGUUCUUUUGCUGCCAUGUGUGUGUGUGUGUGUGUGUGUACAUGAUCUAGGGCUUGAACCCAGAACCUUGCACAUGUUUAGGCAAGUGCUCCACCACUGAGCCAUAUCCCCAAGACUUUCACUGCCCAUUGUUUCCCCCACCUCUUUGUUCCUCACUCUGCUGCUGGAAUUACCUUUAUAAAACUCAGAUCUGAUUGUGAUUUGCUUUAUUUGAAAUACUUCAAAGGCUUCUCAGUGCCAAGUUUUUAACACUCAUCCUAGCUCCUUCUCAGCCAGUUGGGACCAUCUGGGAAGCAGAGAGCAAACAGAAGUAGAACUUCAGGAGGUUUCCUGGGGAGGCUGGUAACACCUAUGAAAGAUAAAGGCAGAGAAAAAGAGCAGCCUUCAGACAGAAGUCGCUGUCUAGCUCCUAGGAACAGAAAGGGAAGAAAGGAGAAUCAGGUAGGAAGAACUUCAGACUGGGCUGCAACUCUGGAAACAUCUCAACAAGCCCAGUGGGGAGCUCUGGCCAAAGACUGCCCAGUAGAUGAGUCCACUGGGCAGAAACAAACUGGCCCAGGCCUCCUGCCAUAUUCUGCCAUUGGCUUGGGAGCUGCCUAGGAGGCAACGUGGCCUUGACCUGAGUGAUGUCGCAGCUCCUGAAGCUGCAGGUUGCUAGGCUCCUGUACUCCUUGUAUCAGUUUCUCUGAAUGGCAAGUGUCGUCCGUUGGCUGCCAUAAACUGCAGUCUGCCUUUUGGCCUUAUCUCUUCUUUCCCUGCUCCCAGACCCCAUGCCCUGGUGCCAUUGGCUUGACUACAUGCCAUACGCUGCAUGACCAAUUGUUCAUGCCACCCCCUAACCCUGACCUUUGCACAUUCAGUUAUCUCUGCCUGCAAUGCCACUCCUUUCCAACUAUACAAAAAAAAAAAAAAAAGGAGUUUUCUUCUUCUUCUCUCUCUUCCUGUACUGGGAAUUGAACCCAGGGCUGCUCUACCACUGAGUUAUACAAUCUCAGUCCUUUUUAUUCUUUAUUGUGACACAGGGUCUCUCCAAGUUACCCAGGCUGGCCUUCAACUUGUGAUCCUCCUGCCUCAGACUCCCAAGUUGCUGGGAUUAGAGGUGUGCAUGACUGUACCCUGCUUCAUAAUGUUUUCAAGACCUUACUGAAUUGCAACCUACUCUGGGUCACAGAUCCCCCCAUACAGAAUUAAUCAGUUCCUUGCUCCUGCUGUGCAGUUUGUUGAUUAGUAAAGUUUGGAGUAUCUGGUUCCUUUUUUUUUUUCUCCUUCAGAGUUUUGUCCCCUACAAUCCCUAAACCUGGCACAGUGUAGGUACACAGUGAAUGCUAACUGAGCUGUUUCCCUGCUAUUCCCAAAGAACCUCAAGGUUGCAGAACUCCAGCUGCUGGAAUGGGUUGGUUGCCUUAAAUGGUCAAUAAAUGUUUGUUGAAUCACCUAGGACCUUAAUUGUAACCUUGGAAAGGGAGAGGGGGAAGGUGUUUCCUGUUGCUGGGGAUCACCCAGUAUGGAGCCAAGCCAGAGUUCUAAGACUAGAGAAUAUCUCCCUCUCCUUAUAUUUUCUUUCCUAAAUGGGAAAGACCCUAGAGUGCUGAUGGUGGUUUUUAUUGUUGUUGUUGUUGUUGUUGCUUAAGUAAUCAUUCUAUUGCCUUAGGUCAAUAGGUGGGUACUUGAAGCCACUUUAUGAGUUGAGAUUUUGCACUUGCCCAUGACUCCUUCUCUUUAGGGCCUAAGAAGAGCCAUUGUACCCACACUGAUCUCCAGAUCAGAUGGGUAAUCAUUGUCUGAGUGAAGGUUAAUGGCUGGGGGAAGUUGGAAGGGUGGCAAUGAUAUUUCUCCUCUUGCUCUUUCCCAUGCCCACCAGUUAAAGAAUGUCCCUAUGGGGAGCAGCCAAGAGUUUCUGGGGUGGGCACAGUGGGGAAUGACAGCAAAACCUGGUGGGGAUGAGCAGCUAUGGAGAGAACAGAGAGGCAGCACUGGCUCCGUGUCCCGCCUUGCCACUCUCCUUUCGGUGUGCUAAGAUGAUGUCCCUUUGCCACUGUCCCUCAGUGGAAGGAGGCUAGAGCAUGGGUGACCAUGACCUCCCUACCCCUUCACUGCUCCAAACUGUUCCCUCAGAGGGAACCCCAGGGUUUCUCCAUCCAGGCAUGAGGGCCCUGUGCCUCUGCCUUCUCCCACAGGGAAAAAACAUAGGGUGGAAACUUCUGGCCAAGGCCUUGGUUUUUGGAGCCAGCUGGGCAGUGGAUAGGAAUUCUAAGAGACUUUGUAGUCUAAAGAAGAUGUAGCCCAGGGCUUCUUAUCUCUAGAUCCACAGGCUCAUUUUUGGAAGCUACAAAUCUUCCGCCCAGGUGCUAUUGCAUCAGGUAUGUGGCAAGAUAUAGUUCUCAUCAGAUUCCUUGUCACCAAAAAUGUCAUGGGCCAAACCACUAUGUUACUCCAAAGAAUAACAGCUUUCUAAUACAAAAGAGGAUGUUUUCCUGUCAGAGCCAGGUUGUAGUUGGAUUCCCCGUGCUACAUAAUGGAGGCCCCCGGAUAAUUCUAGAAAGAAGCCCAUAUCCCCCCUUCAUACCAAGAUCAUCCUCAGGAACUGUGCGGUACCUCUAUAAUUGGGGUUUGUGGUAAUGGGGGCCUUGUGGAUUCUGUUGCCAUAGCCCCAGAGAUUGAACCUCUGAGAGUCAGACCAAGUAGGAUGAUGCCCAUCUCCUGUGAGGACAACCCAGAGGCAGGGCAGACUCCUAAAGGUGUAGAUGUGCAAUAUCAGUAAGAAUUGGAUAUUGUUAGGCUGUUAGAUGAAUUCCAGCAUUUAUCAUUUUUCAGCCAUUCUGAAAAUUCUUAUUCGAGCCUGAGUUCUGGGCUCCAUUUCAGGGAGACAUGUCUCAUGUUCCCAGAAACUGUCAGGAGCAUCUGAUACACAGCGGCGGACACCAAGGGAAAAGAAACCCAAAAAAGAGAAAAGUGAAUAAAAAGAGAUUUCUCAAAUUAGAGCAAAAACUGAAGUCAGUCGCGCAAGCAUACAGCUAUAAUGUGACAACCUCUCUGAUUUUUGACACCCCCUCUUUUUAUUUUAAGUUCUGGCCACAUUUAUGAAUAGGGAACCAUAUCUGCUGAGACCUCACAAGGGUUACAUAAACAGUUUGGAUGGUUACAUCUUUUAAACAACAGUUUCUGAAAGCAUUGAAAAAAUCCCACUUAUUUAACAGUCUGGUGCCUUGAGCCAGCCCUGGAAGUUCCUGGGAGCCUUGCAGAAUCACUUCCUCCUGACUGUGAGUGGGGCAGGGUGAGGGGGAGCUCUGGCUUCUAGAGAGUGCAGGGGAGGAAGCGCCCAGCUGUGUGUGUGGGAGGAAGGCAUAGAGGGAGGGAGGAGGAUGCCCCAGAUUGCUCCUCAUAUGGGCAGCUGUGUCUUGUUACCAUGAGAGAGCAGGGACCCAGGAUGGAGCAGACAUAGGUCUCCUGGGGGUUUGGCUCUUUGGGGAGGAAGCAUGUGUCCGGGCAGGCUCUUCCCGUUUGACAACCUAACAUGAUGAUGAAAAUAGUGUUCUGGGCUCCUAAGCCUUGAUGGGGAACGUUCCCUUCUCUCUUAGAGUCUUAGCAGCCUUGGUGGUCUGGAGGGUUUCUCAAACCUUGGAGCUGAGGUUCUGAGUAAUGCUUUUGUGUCUUUUAGCAUAUCCUAGUCACCAACUCCUGUCCCCAUUGGCCUUAGUCUUAGUACUGGGGGAGUAGCUUAAUGCUAUCAGUUUUGUCAUUUGAAAUUUGUUUUGGUUAAAUAAUCUCCUUCCCCAGAUAUCGUUUUUGGAAAUGCAGUUAACUAAAGAUAUAUAACUCACUAGUGUAAAUUAACUUUAUCCAAAUUAUGUGCUUCAAUUCAAAGAGGGCUUUGUCUACUGGGUUUUAGCCUACUUGAGGUUUCACAACCCCUCCAGGAUCUAAUGCAAUAGAUAGAACCUUUUCCCAGGAAAAUUCACAAACUUCCAGAAUUGUGUGGACCAUCUGGGAAUUUCAGGAACCCCUUUGGUCCUACCCCGGAGUUCUAAGUUCCUGUGAGAGGGAAGGUGGGAAAGGUGGUAGUAAGGGCAGGGGACAGGGAUGAGCAAGGACUCCAAGUGCCACCUCAGAGGUUUUGCCCAAGACCAAUUGUGGAAAAUAUCAUUAGUGAGUGUUCAUUGCCAACUGUGGUCACUGCCUGUCCUAGAGAAAAGGUAUCUUUCCGUCAGCAGUGACACGGAGCCGGGGUGUUAGGACUUGUACACUGAACCUUCAUGUACCAGCAUGCAGCUGGGCGAGGAGAUGCUGGAGCUGGCUUUCAGGUAGAAGAAGCAGGUAGCAGUUUGUGUCCAUCUGGCAGAUUGGGGUCCUCUUGGCAAAGUGACAGGAGCCCCCAAGCCUGAUACCACCCCUUCCCCAGCAGAAGAGGUAGGGAGGGGCCUUGUCACUCUGGAUGGCAAGCUCAGAGAACCUUGAGUUCAGGAUCUUUUUUUGGGGGGGAGUCAGUUUGAUGAUGAUGUAGCUUUGAUUCCUAGUGUAUUGUUCUCUUUGAACUAGGGGAAACAUGGGGAAAGUUUUUGGAUCUGGUGCUGAUGUAAAAGCAUCACAGGGGAUUUUGGAACUGAUGGGGCAUAGUGAAACAAGCAUACAGAUCGUUUGUAGCCCAGCGCUUGCUAUGCGACUCCCACUGUCAGUGUGGUGACUCAAGGAGGAGAGAAUUUCCCCUUUGUUGAGCCAGCUGGACCAGUGUCAGCACUGCUCUCUUUGCAGGCUCUGGCACAGAGAAGCAGGGCCUGACUGUGGGGUGUUUGCAGGGAUUGGGGGCCUGGGCCCAGUUUAACACCCAUAAAAAGCAUGGUCCAUCUUGUGAGCCAGUUAUCCAGGGUCUCCCUAAUCUCGUGUGACAUCCGAUCACACGAGUGACACACACAAUCACACAAGCCUGUGACAUCCGAUCCAAACUGGGCAUAUGCUCCUGUGUUUGCGGAAUAUGGCUCAGCUUUCGCCUGUCACACCAAGUAAACUCACCCUCAUAAUCGCAUGCAGGCCUCUCACACUCACCAUCAAGCUUUCUCCUUCACUUUGUGAUGUUUGAUACUAAUAAUUUUCAUCAUUAUUGCUGUAUUCACUGGACUUCUUGCUAUUAAGAUAAAGAUUGCUUAAGCUGGUUUUAAAAAAAAAAGCACCAGCUAUAAAUGAAAAGACCUGUAAAUUGAACUUUUCAUGAACUCGGUCUGAGGACUACAUUUUGAGAACCACUGGCUUAAGCAAAAUCCAGCAGGUCUAGGCAACUGGCCCUCACCCCAGGCACAGGUGAGUGAAGUGCAGGAUGGAGGAGGAAUGGACGGGUACAGUAGGCCAGAGCCAGUAGGCCUUUGGCUGCUGUUCGAGGAAUUUACAGGUGAUUCUAUAGACGUAGGGCCAUGGUGGAUGAAGGUGGCAUAAGGUCCUGGUCUCCAAGGUUGUCUUACUCUGGGAUUUGGAGCAUCCUUGGCCUGAAGCUUAAAGCUACACAGACAAGCAGGUGAUAAAUUCACCUGCUUUGGGCCUGUGCUGACCCCAUGCAGCACACCUGCUUAGGCAACUCAGUUUAUACCAACAGACAAACAAGAAUCCCAUCAAGGUGUAUUUUUAAUAUGAAGCAUUGGGAUUAUCUGUAGCCAUCUAUGCAUGCAGUGGAGAUGGCAAGUGGGAUGGGAAAAAGUCACUUCAACCAUUUAGGCAAAAGUGUCAGUUUUAGUCUCAAUAAGGAGAUAACUGGUCUGUGUUUUUCUUUCUUGUGGCCUAGGGAGCUCCCAGAGGAAAGGACAUUACAACCCAAACUCCAUUUCUUCCACUAGGGAAUCACUUAGAACCAGUAGUUUCCUCCAAAUGGACUCUCUUAGACUAAGAAAGGGAGACUUAGCCACAGGCCAGCUGGGAAGGGAGCCACACUCUGUGAGGGAAAGGCCCAUCCCAGUCAGGACACAGUAGACCAGUGGGACUUGCCCUUUCCCUGAUGGCCCAUGCAUGCAAGCCCAUACCACCUGUCAUCCUGUAAACUGACUUCCAGUUAUACCACCAAUAAGCUGUACUUACUAUCAGUUCUCUCUAACAUAAUCUAGGCGUGGUGUAGAGACAAAGGUGAAUCAGCCAUGGACAUGCCUUCCUGAAACAAUUCCAUUUUUUUUAAAAUUUAUUUUUUAAUUAUAGAUGGACACAAUGUCUUUAUUUUACUUUAUGUGGUGCUGAGGAUCGAACCCAGUGCCUCAGGCAUGCUAGGUGAGUGCUCUACCUCUGAGCUACAACUCCAGCCCAACAAUUCCAUUUUCUUAGGGGGAAGGGAGACUGAAGUCAUUCUUGGUCAUUAAAUCCCCCUACCUGACCUCUUGUUCCCUCCCUUCACAUCCCUGGCUUAAGUCUAGCUACUGGUCCCUGAUGCUGGGGACUCAGGGAUCCUUUAUUCAACUUUUACCACAUCAGGUUCCACGUGGGUCCUGGGCUCACAGAAAUGACUAACUCAAGCCACUUGUGCCCUUGUCGGGAGCCCUAUUUGCCCCACAGCUGCAGCUGGGCCAAUUCUGGAGCAAGUGCCCUGCAGCCACCUUACCUGGGCUAAGGGUCCCCAAGUCUCCUUGCUGACAGGACUCCACAUUGGUAGAUGGAGCCUGGCCUCCUGCCCCUUUCCAUCAGCCUAUCCCAGCCCAGCUAAACCCAGGGUCCCUAGGCAUCACAGCUGCUGCACACAUAAAGCUCCACAGGAAGGUGGGCUGGGACUCAUGUGAGUGGUACUUUGACGACUCACCAAAGACUACCUUCCAUCUAGAGUUCAGCCUACCUUUUUUGUAGGGACAUUCAAUUGGUCACUUAUUCUUCACCCCCAAGUCCCUUUGCAAGAGAAUUACCUAGAACAGAGCACAGGCCCAGGAAUCACAGGCUCAAGUCUUGUUCUGCCUAUCCCUGCUGUGUGACUUGGGCAAGCCACCUCACCUUCCUAAAGCUGUUUCCUUGUUUGUGGAAUGGAGAUAAUGACCUUGCUUACUUCCUAGUGUUGUACAGAGGCACGCCUCUCGUCCUUCAGCUGCCCUGAAGCCUGCAGGUAGGGUGAGGAGGUUGGACAUGCUAUACCAGCUAUGUUUGGGUGGGGACAGCAAAUGGAAUAGAAGCAAACUAAUUCGGUCUAAUAAGGAGGAACUGCAAAUCUUCCUCUCUGUGCCAUGGGGCCUGGGGCAUGGCAGAAACAACCCUCCAGGGCUGUGGACUCUAGUAUUUCUUGAGCACUAAGCACCUGUAUGUCUUACCCACAUUUAGUUUAGUCUUCACAGCAAGCCCAUGAGAUAUGUUACCAUCCCCAUGUUGCAGAUAAGCAAACACAGGCUCAGAAAGGACCACAUGUUGCCCUGGUGUCAUAUUUAUUGAACAUUUACUAUGUGCUAAGUGUUUCAGGUCUAACAGCCACCAAGAUAGACUCGUGUCCCUCCCUCGUUCCACAGGUGGCCCCGGCUAAGCUGGAAUGAGUCAGAGCUAGACUCAAAGCCAGGUCUGGUGGCCUUCUAGGCUGGUGCUUUUCCCACCUCACACUCCAGAACUCUCAUUACACUCCCCUCAUGGGGCCACAGACUGUGCCUGGCAGCCCCUUGGAGAAUUUGAGGAUUUGGGAAUAAUCCUGGGUUUGGAGACAGGCUGUUUCUGUAGAGCUUUCUGUUUGCCCAGCAAUCCGCAAGCAGCCCUGACCCAAAGCCACGUUGGUCCAGUGCCUGACCACUGGGAUGUUUCUCCAUGGAGGGAGGAGCUUUCCCAAGGGAAUUCCCCCAAGGGGAGGGGAGCCAUCUUUGUUCUGGGGCCCCAGAGGGACACUGUUUCUGGCUGAGGUGGGAAAUCCCCUUGGAUUUCUCUGGGUUUAUGGGAGGGACUAUGGUUUUCCUGCAGCUUAAACCCAUAAGGAAGAAAAGGGAAGACCAAUGUAUGUCAGAGAGUUAAAUGAGUCUGGAUGGAAGUGGCCCCCCGUGUUUGGGGCUCAGCUUCUGCCCUUCCUUCCCUUUAGCCUUGGGCUCCCUCGAGACCUGUAUUUAUUGAACAUUUACUACAUGCUAAGUGUUGCAGAUCUAACAGUCAACAAAUCAGAUCCAUGUCCCUCGCAGUGGGCUUAUUUUCCUUGAGUGGUCACUUGUCUUGGGUGAACUGGAAUUGUCAGAGCAAGGACUCAAAGCCAACAAGUCGGGGGGCCUCCAGGGCUUGUGCUUUCCCCACUGCAUCCUCCAGAACUCCCUUUCCCUCAGGACAUGCCACUCAUGGAAGGCAGAGACUGACUCUGGAAACCCCUUGGAAAAUAUCACUGGAAAGAGAUGUUUUCUUUUUAUUUUUUUUAAAGGACAUACAACACCAGACAAUCUUUAUAUAUAUAUGACUUUAUUUAUUUAUUUAUUUAUUUAUUUAUUUAUUUAUUUAUUUUUAUGCGGUGCUGAGGCUUGAACCCAGUGCCUCACAUGUGUGAGGCAAGUGCUCUGCCACUAAGCCACAACCCGGAGGAAAUAAUCUGCUUCACAACCUCCACCACUACCACCCCCCAAGAAAAAGGACACAAGAUUAUUGGAGCAUUUACUCAUAGUAGCAAUCACCAGAAGCAAUGUAUAUGUAAUGAAAUACUGUGCAAUCAUUAAAAAUCAUCUUGAAGAAGAAAAUUAAUAACUUGAGAAGAGUGCUUUAUAACAGAUGUGUUCAAAAAUUCAGAUUACAAAACAUAAUAUACCUUUUUUUAAAGAAAUUUAUAGGGCUGGGAUUGUGGCUCAGUGGUAGAGCGCUCGCCUCACAUGUGUGAGACACUGGGUUCAAUCCUCAGCACUGCAUGGAAAUAAAAUAAAGAUAUUCUUUCCACCUAUAAUUAAAAAUAUAUAUGUUAAAAAAGAAAUUUAUAUAUGCACAGAAAAAUAUCUGGAAGGGUACAUAUCAAGUGCAACUUAUAGUUAGCCGUCUCCAAGUAGUAGAAUUAUGUGACUCUGGGGGUUUUGCUUGGUUUUUUCCUUCUUCUGUUUUCAGUAGUUUCCUGGUCUUCAGUGGAAAUGUGUGCCUUGUGUAAUCGUGGAGAAACAGUCCCACAAUGUGAACCAGAGAGAGAAGGGAGAAAGAAUAUUUCCUUUUGGCUCUGAACCUAAGGCCACUCUGGGCCCUGGCCUUGUCCCAAGAAUGUAAAUACUGUAAAUGCCACAGGGGAGGCCUGAGAGCAGUGGAGUAGGGCCCAGCUCGAGAAUCAGCUGGGCAUCAUUGUCCAGGCUGUGUCAUAAAUCUCAUUCCCCCAGAGAGUCUGCCUGACCACACAGCCGGACUGAAGGAACUUGCUCAGUGAAUUGCUCCAUCCUCCUUGGAAUCCCUUCUCCUAAUGUUCUUGCCACUACUUCUCGAACUGAGUUGCUGAGCUGUUGAGUGGCAUGCCGUCCUUGGAUGGCUUCUCCACUGACUUCCAUUCUACAUCAUGGUCAUCUUGACUUCGAAGAGCUACAUGCUGAACACUCACAAAUAUUCAUUUCCAGACUCUCCCCUGGAUAUCUCCAGCCAAGUGUCCAAAAGACAUCUCACACGUAACAUGUCUGUGUUAGCUUUUCAUCACUGUGACCAAAAUACCUGACAAGAACAACUUAGAGGAGGAAAGCUGCUUUUGGGCUCUCAUUUUCCGAGGAUUCAGUCUAUGGUCAGCUGGCUCCAUUCCAUUGAACCUGAGGUGCCAGAGUUUGCAAGCUAUUGAUGGAAAACAACAUCACAGUAAGAAAACAAUAAGACCAUGUCCAGCUGGGAACUUCCCAACUUAAAAACCUUGGAGUGUAUUCAAGGAAGACCAGGGUGUGAAAGUGUCAGCAACUGGAUAAAGUAAUGACCUAGGGGACUAGUGUGGACUUCCUAGUCAGAAUGUGAACCCUGAGGAUGGGGGACAGAGUUAGUAGUGAGGUAUUUAUUUAUUUAUGUCUGCAUGUUUGGUACCGGGGAUUGAACUCAGGGGUGCUCACCACUGAACCACAUUCUGAGCCCUUUUUUAUUUUUUAUUUGGAGACAAGGUCUCACUAAAUUGCUUAAGGCCUUACUAAGUUACUGAGGCUAGCUUUGAACUUGUGAUCCUCCUGCCUCGGCCUCCCAAACCGCUGGGAUUACAGGUGUGUGCCACCACACCCAGCAGCAGUGAGGUCUUUAAACCCACUAUCUUACUGCAUUUUCUGUUGCUACAACAGAAUACCUGAGAUUGGAUAACUUAUAAAGGAAAACAGUUUAUUUAGGCUUAUAGUUCUGGAAGCUUGGGAAAGCCAAGAUCAGGUGGUUUUAUCUUGCUCUUCAUGCCUGGCAUAGCAUGGUGGGAAAGUAAAAGGACUGUAGCAAGCAUGCAAAAGAGAAAACUGGAGGGGAGAGGUUCAAAACAAACCCACCCUCUCCACAACCUCCUCACCUCUUAAAGGUCCAGCCUCCCAACACUGCCGCAGUGCCAGUCAGAUUCAGUAUGAGUUUCAGAGGGGACAAACCACAUUCAACGCACAGCACCUGGAGAGGCAGUGCUUCCCUUGGGGACAGCUGACUGAAGGCCCCCUGGACAGCCUUCCCGCUCUGCCUUCCUUGCCUCCCUCCAUUUCUCCAGAACUCCUGCUUAGACCUCAACUCAUCCGGCCUUGACAGAGUUCUCUGGCUUUUUUUCUUUUCUUUCUUUAACUAUCAAAGACAUUUUUCUUCUAGAUUGAGAGGAAAUUUACUAGCAUCUUUACAGCAUAGGGUUCCUCGGAUUUUGUGUUCAAUUUCAGUCCAACUUACAAAACGUGAAACCCAGGUGAAGAUGGCGUGAGGGAGGGAGCAUAGCGUUAGAGGAAAGCAGCGUUGGACUCGGCCUGAGGUUGGAACCACCCAUCUUUGAGCCAGCCAGGGACAGAGGCAAGACGUGAGCUUCCCUAAGUGUUUGUCUCCUGCCUAUCAAAUGGAUAGAAUGCCUACCUCCAAAUUGGGACGAUGUGGUAAAGUUAGCACAUUGAAAGCCUGCAGCACAGCCCACCUGUGGCAGGGCUCAGCAGAAGGGUGUUCAGAUGAGACAUGAACCCGCAGUUUUUUUAUCUGUGUAGAAGCCUGGCAACAGUAGUGUGUGUGUGUGUGUGUGUGUGUGUGUGUGUUUAGCUGGUAGAAUCAUGGGUGAUUUUCAAUAUAUUUUUUUUUGUUUUGUUUUUCUACAAGAAAUACAUACUACUAGCCAGGCACAGUAGUGCACAUCUGUAAUCCCAGUGACUUGGGAGGCUAAGGCAGGAGGAUCACAAGUUUGAAGACAGCCUCAGCAAUUCAGUGAGGCCCUAAGUAACUUGCUGAGACCCUGUCUCAAACUAAAAAAAUUAAAAUAGAGCUGGGGAAGUGGCGCUGCACUCCUGAGUUUAAUCAUAAAGAAAGAGAGAGAGAGGAAGGAAGGAAGGGAGGGAGGAAGAAAAAAGAAAUAAAGAGAGAAAGAGAAAGAAAGAAAGACUACUUAGAGGGAAAGGAAAGGUACUGGGGAAUGAGAUUGACCCAGUUAUGUUAUGUAUAUUAUGAACUUGACAAUGAAUCUCAGUAUCAGUAUAAUUGUAAUGCGCCAAUAAAAAAGGAAAGAAAGAAAUACAUACUACUCAUAUAACGAUGAGAAGCGGAAUGACUCUAGAGAGGUAUUAUAUACUUUUUAAAUUAAUUAAAGCGUGAAAAGUUUGGAAAAAGAAAAGAAAAACCUGCAGUCCAUUUGCCUUUCGUAGACAUGCCAGCUAUAUAGCCCCUGGGCAGCGCCCCAGAGGACUGAGACAGAGGCAGGGAGGAGAGGGCAAUGGGUGAAGGAAAAGAAAGAAAGGAAAGUCACUCUGUGGGCUGGUGCCCACGGAGAUGCCCCUCAGAAGAAAUGCUCAGCCUUAGCAUGCAUGUAUGUCCUUCCCCAACCCAACAUGGCUCAGGAGCCUCUGGUAGAGGAUAUGGUGACAUAAAGCCCCUCUCUCCAAGCUCCAGACAAUGAUGACUGUGUGCAGCUCCCUUCAGCUGCUCAGGCAGCUGACCUCUAGCACAUCUGAGGAGGGGCCUGUGGCUUCAGCCCUGUGGCUCCUGAUCUACCUUCAUAAACCUGUUUUUUGUCCCUGUCUAGAGUAAAACAUGCAGGGAAUCCUACUGAAUUCCAAAAAUCAUCCUAAAAGGAUCAACACCUCUCUGGAGUCAUUCAGCUUCUCAAGAGAAGCAUUCCAAUGCCGUGCUCCAGUUAACUAUUGCUGCAUAACAAACUACCCCAUAACUUAGUAGCAUAAAGCAACUACCAUCUUAUUAUGCUGCAGAUCAGGGACCCAGGGCCCUGUUCUCUGUUCUGCAAUGUCUAGGACUAGGUUGGGAUGGCUGGAGUGGCCAGGGCAACUGGAAUGGUGGCUGUGAGCUGGAACAGCUGGGGCUGAAGGAUCCACUUCCAAGGUGGUUUGUCACUAGACUGGGAUAGCUGGAAGGCAGGGCUCCACAAGGCCUGCUGACACGUGGCCUUUCUAGCAUGGAGGCCUGGUUGUUGGACCUCUUACACGGUAGCUCAGGUUUCUACUGUGAGUGUUCUGGCCAGCGAGAUGGAAGCUGUGUGACACUAUAUGGCCUGGCCUUGGAAGCCACAUACAUCAUCUCCACUAGAGUCAUAAACCUGCCCAGAUUCAGGGAAGAAGACACAGACCCACCUCAUAAUGGGAGAAAUGGCAAAAAAAAAAAAAAAAUUAGCAGCCAUGUUUUGAAUCUACCAUACUCCCACAUAGGUGAUGUAUUCCUAGGUCAGGUCAGGGUGAGGUGGUGGGACAUUGAGUCCUACUGAUCAGUCUGCGACUGUACUCCCCUCACCUGUUUUCAUCCCUAUAUCCAACUGUCCUCCCACCAGCUUAUGUCUCUCUUAUUGGGUAGGCAGGACCUAGGGAGGAUUUCAAGCCAGUUCCCUUGGUUCCUACCCCCAACUGGCUCCUGUACUUUAUCCCACCAGCCACACUCCCUGCUCUCCCCAGUCUGUGCUCCCCCAGUGUAUGAGCAUAAAGUAGCUUGCUUUCUGCCUGUGUGACCCUCUGCAGUCCUGCCUGUGGAAAUCUCUCAACUACUCAUGUCUCCUUUACCAUUCUCUUUGCCUUUGAGGAUUUAUACCAUUUGAUUUUUUUUCUGUCAUUUUAGUGGCACUUCAAGAGAGACACAGGACUGGGACACAUAGAUAAAUUGGCAUGUUUAACUGGAAGCCCUUUUCUACCUAUUUUUUUGUUUGUUUGUUUUUGUUUUUAUUUGUUUGUUUUUGCAAUUCUUGGGAUCUAAUCCAGGGCCUCGUGCAUGCUAGGCAAGGGCUAUACCACUGAGCUACAUCCCCAGAUCAUUUUAUUUUCUAUUUUUGAGGCAGAAUUUUCCUAAGUUUCCUAGGCUGGCGUCAAAUUUGUGACCCUCCUGUCUCAGCCUCCUCAGGAGCUGGGCAGGUGUGCAACACCACACCUCACUCUGCUGGAUUUCUUUUGAAUGAAUGUGUCUCUCUAAGCUGUGUUGUAAUCUUCCCUGCCCUAUAAAAGUACAGUGUUUGAUAGUAUAGUGACCACAUUUAGCCUUUGUUGAUGAUUCAGAGUCCUCCUUAUGAACAUACAUGUUCACCUUGCAAUGGUUAAGUUAAGUAGAACUUAACUGUCCCUCCACGAUGGGACCCUGAUCACAGUUCCCCACAGUGCUAGAAUGCUUGACACCUCUUUCCAUGACUGCCUCUGUCUCUGGCUGCCUCCCAUCCUGUGCAUCUGUGCUGGGGUACUGCAUGACAGCAGGUUAACUUCUAACUUCCUCUUUUAGAAUUGCUAAGCCAGAUCACUAUGCCAGGCUUUCUUUGGUUGCUGUCCCCCACCCACUACUGCUCUUCCCUAUGCUUUCUGCCCUUCCCUACGCUUCCCAAACUUGACCUUGGUGAUGACAUCAACCAGCUCCAUGCCUCGUGCUUCAGUUAGGUUUGACCAAUUGAAAAUCCUAGCUAAGGUGGGCUGGGGAUGUGGCUCAAGUGGUAGCGCGCUCACCUAGCAUGCAUGAGGCAUUGGGUUCGAUUCUCAGCACCACAUAAAAAUAAAAAAAAUAAAGAUAUUAUG
Long non-coding RNA from Marmota monax (woodchuck), 14582 nucleotides. RefSeq lists it as uncharacterized. Lineage: Eukaryota; Metazoa; Chordata; Mammalia; Rodentia; Sciuridae. The record is from RefSeq and is a predicted model, not a curated record. The transcript has 3 exons.